This 492-nucleotide ribosomal RNA is filed under the name uncultured bacterium. RNAcentral's name for it is "partial 16S ribosomal RNA". It matches the Rfam family "Bacterial small subunit ribosomal RNA", at positions 29 to 507 of the family's 1533-position model. The record is from RNAcentral.
AGUGAACGCUGGCGGUAGGCCUAACACAUGCAAGUCGAACGGCAGCACAGUAAGAGCUUGCUCUUACGGGUGGCGAGUGGCGGACGGGUGAGGAAUACAUCGGAAUCUACUUUUUCGUGGGGGAUAACGUAGGGAAACUUACGUUAAUACCGCAUACGACCUACGGGUGAAAGCAGGGGAUCUUCGGACCUUGCGCGAUUGAAUGAGCCGAUGUCGGAUUAGCUAGUUGGCGGGGUAAAGGCCCACCAAGGCGACGAUCCGUGGCUGGUCUGAGAGGAUGAUCAGCCACACUGGAACUGAGACACGGUCCAGACUCCUACGGGAGGCAGCAGUGGGGAAUAUUGGACAAUGGGCGCAAGCCUGAUCCAGCCAUACCGCGUGGGUGAAGAAGGCCUUCGGGUUGUAAAGCCCUUUUGUUGGGAAAGAAAAGCAGCAGGUUAAUACCCCGCUGUUCUGACGGUACCCAAAGAAUAAGCACCGGCUAACUUCGUG